Molecule: ribosomal RNA, 1346 nt
Filed under: uncultured bacterium
Lineage: Bacteria
Description: bacterial SSU rRNA
Rfam family: Bacterial small subunit ribosomal RNA
Source: RNAcentral
GACGAACACUGGCGGCGUGCUUAACACAUGCAAGUCGAACGGAAAGGCCCUGCUUUUGUGGGGUGCUCGAGUGGCGAACGGGUGAGUAACACGUGAGUAACCUGCCCUUGACUUUGGGAUAACUUCAGGAAACUGGGGCUAAUACCGGAUAGGAGCUCCUGCUGCAUGGUGGGGGUUGGAAAGUUUCGGCGGUUGGGGAUGGACUCGCGGCUUAUCAGCUUGUUGGUGGGGUAGUGGCUUACCAAGGCUUUGACGGGUAGCAGGCCUGAGAGGGUGACCGGCCACAUUGGGACUGAGAUACGGCCCAGACUCCUACGGGAGGCAGCAGUGGGGAAUAUUGCACAAUGGGCGGAAGCCUGAUGCAGCAACGCCGCGUGCGGGAUGACGGCCUUCGGGUUGUAAACCGCUUUCGCCUGUGACGAAGCGUGAGUGACGGUAAUGGGUAAAGAAGCACCGGCUAACUACGUGCCAGCAGCCGCGGUGAUACGUAGGGUGCGAGCGUUGUCCGGAUUUAUUGGGCGUAAAGGGCUCGUAGGUGGUUGAUCGCGUCGGAAGUGUAAUCUUGGGGCUUAACCCUGAGCGUGCUUUCGAUACGGGUUGACUUGAGGAAGGUAGGGGAGAAUGGAAUUCCUGGUGGAGCGGUGGAAUGCGCAGAUAUCAGGAGGAACACCAGUGGCGAAGGCGGUUCUCUGGGCCUUUCCUGACGCUGAGGAGCGAAAGCGUGGGGAGCGAACAGGCUUAGAUACCCUGGUAGUCCACGCUGUAAACGGUGGGUACUAGGUGUGGGGUCCAUUCCACGGGUUCCGUGCCGUAGCUAACGCUUUAAGUACCCCGCCUGGGGAGUACGGCCGCAAGGCUAAAACUCAAAGGAAUUGACGGGGCCCCGCACAAGCGGCGGAGCAUGCGGAUUAAUUCGAUGCAACGCGUAGAACCUUACCUGGGUUUGACAUGGAUCGGGAGCGCUCAGAGAUGGGUGUGCCUCUUUUGGGGUCGGUUCACAGGUGGUGCAUGGCUGUCGUCAGCUCGUGUCGUGAGAUGUUGGGUUAAGUCCCGCAACGAGCGCAACCCUUGUUCACUGUUGCCAGCACGUUAUGGUGGGGACUCAGUGGAGACCGCCGGGGUCAACUCGGAGGAAGGUGGGGAUGACGUCAAGUCAUCAUGCCCCUUAUGUCCAGGGCUUCACGCAUGCUACAAUGGCUGGUACAGAGAGUGGCGAGCCUGUGAGGGUGAGCGAAUCUCGGAAAGCCGGUCUCAGUUCGGAUUGGGGUCUGCAACUCGACCUCAUGAAGUCGGAGUCGCUAGUAAUCGCAGAUCAGCAACGCUGCGGUGAAUACGUUCCCGGGGCU